UUCUACCCCGAACUACGAGGUUUUGAUCCUUCACGGGUACGUAGGCAGAGGACACUCGUCCUUCCAAACAAUAAAAAAUGUAGAUAAAUUAGGUCUCACUUUAUUUUCUUUUUCAUCACAUUAAUUCCUUCUUUUCAAAAGCAAGCAAGUUAUAGCACAUUAAAUUAAAUAAAACCAAGAGGUUCCCGUAGAGUACUGCGGACAUAGAGGGUGCUAAUACCUUCCCUUUAUGUAACUAACCCCCGAACCCUAAAUCUUUUCAAAUAGGGGUAGUUUGAACUUUUUCCCCUUUUCUCAAUAAAAUUAAAUGUUCAGUCGUGAAAUAAUUAGUGAGUCAAAAGCUAAUCAAAUAGCCUUGAUCUCCAAAAAAUGACGCGACAGAAAUGGCGACUUCACUGGGGAUACCCCCUAAAGAGGGUUGAGCCUAACUUGGCCUUAUUUAAUUCUCUAUGCUAUAACUUGCUUAAAAAAAAAAAAAAAAAAAAACAAAAAGAUGGAAAUAGUUGUACAUAUCUUCUCUUUUCUUUCUCCUCUUUUCUUCUUAAAUAUGAGUGGUGAGAUAAAGCCCUACACCCGGGUUUGAGAGAAACAUAAGAUAGGACGGUGGUAUAACCAAAGUGCCUUUCCGAGAGUCAAGUCUCGUGUUUAGGUUCAUGUGGUAUAACCCCACUCAAUGGAGGGAUCUUGAAAGUAAUUUGUGUUGGCAUGAAUAGUCGUGUUGGCAUUAUAUUUUCAAGUGACCGUCGAAGUUGAGAACCUUUAGUUACCCUUAACCCAUCUUAGCCUUUUAGGACGUAGUGCGGUGGCUAAUCAAGAGUAGUCUUGAUUUAGUUGAUACGCGAUACUACACUCAAAUGAAACUUUCCUACGGAUAUUAUUGGAUCAAGAGUAGUCUUGUAACCUGAUAACAUUCGGAGGUAGUUAAUGACUUUGGGAACUGGAUAGAACCCGUGAUACAGGUACAAAUAAAACCAUAGUCCUUACCAAAUGGGGGUUAUUACCUUUAAACUCCAACAUGAUGAGCUUAACCUAUGCAUAAUCAUGCAUACAUGCAUUCAUCCAUAAAAAAAACUUUUUUUUCUCAUCAAAAUAUCGAAGGACUUAGAUAAGUUUUCGUAAACAUCAAAGAUAUGGUCCUUGUAAGAAGGAAUACCAGGAAACCCAAAACUUCAAAAAAGCUUUAGCUUUUGUUAAGAACUUUUUCCUUGGUUUCGUUCUUACUUUUGAAAGGGAACCAAUUGCAACGUCUUUACAAUUUUUAAAUAAAACAAUGUUCCUUAUCAAGUUUACAAUUACUUUGACAAGUCCUUCAAAAAAAAGAAACGUGUCUGUUUUUGCAUAAGCAUGCAUCAUUCGCAUUCAUAGUUUCAAGUCAGAGUCUUACAUUGUGUCUUUUCUACUAAAGGUCAGUCCAUCUCAAAGAGUCAUGGCAUCCUCGUCUGAAACUCACUCGCAAUUACAACACUCGAACAAUCAUGAAGAAAGGAUGAAGUUUCUCAAACAAGAAAAUCAAUUGCUCCGUGAGGAGGUGGCAGUCAUGCGAACUAAGAUGGAUGAAAUGACUGAAUUGAUGAAAGCAUUAACGGCUGCACAUAAUCAACCACCGCCUCCUCCUCCUCCUAUUAGCACUCAAGCCGAAGCAACUGUCUCUAUUUUUCCUGAAUGGACGAUACCUGUUAGUACUUCCCCAAAUUCUAGGCCAGAAGAUCGUCCUUGGAGUGUCCCUAUUUGUCUCAGUGAAGUAUUCCGCCCUAUUGCUUCUGAAACUCAGAUGCCUACUCAUCAAUAUGCAGCUCAUGUUCCUCCGCUUCCUGUAAGAGCUCCUCCAGUUGUCAUGACUUAUUCAACACCUAUGAUGCAUACCAUUCCACAAAAUGAAGAACCCAUCUUCCAUUCAGGGAACAUGGAGCCCGAUGAUAGAAUGAAUGACUUACGGGAAAAAUAUGAUGAAAUGCAUCGAGAAAUGAGGGCUCUCCGUGGGAAAGAAAAAUUUGGAAAGACCGCUUAUGAUCUCUGUUUGGUGCCGAAUGUCCAGAUACCUCACAAGUUCAAGAUCCCAGAUUUUGAGAAGUAUAAAGGGAACUCCUGCCCCGAGGAACAUUUGAAAAUGUAUGUAAGAAGGAUGUAUGCAUAUGCUCGAGACGAUCAGGUCCUCAUUUGCUACUUUCAAGAAAGUCUGGCUGGUCCCGCCUCAAAAUGGUACACGAACCUAGAGAAAACGAGAAUCCAAACUUUUCGUGAUCUAUGUGAAGCUUUUGUGGAGCAAUACAGUUAUAACAUGGAUAUGGCGCCGGACCGAAGUGAUCUUCAGGCUAUGACUCAAGAGAGCAAGGAAACGUUCAAGGAGUAUGCCCAGCGAUGGAGGGAUACCGCUGCCCAAGUCAGCCCGCGUGUAGAAGAGAAAGAAAUGACCAAGCUCUUCUUAAAAACUCUCAAUCAGUUCUACUACAAGAAGAUGGUCGGAAGCACGCCCAAGAACUUUGCUGAGAUGGUUGGUAUGGGUGUACAAUUGGAAGAAGGAGUCCGAGAAGGACGAUUGGUCAACAAUACCCAAGAAAUUGCCGACUAGGUGGAGACAGGAUCUCUCUUGCACCUUCCAUCAAGGGGCACAAGGUCAUGACGUUGAGCACUGUUUCUCCUAGGAAAUUGAAGUCCAGAAGCUGAUCGACGACAAUGUGUUGCAUUUCGAGAAAUUGGAUCCGAGUGUGUAACUGCAAUUGGGUUGAUGUUUAUGUCUUCUCCUGCUACUCGAUUUGUCUCUAGUGAUAUGUUUGUUUGUUUACUACCUCUUCAAAAAAACAUCCUUUCGUCCCGCCCGAGAUGAAAGUGAACUGGUGUAGGGCUUUUUACUUUAAGAAAUUGUCAUCAUUAAAAAGGUCGUUUUGAUCCCGCCUUUGUUUUCACUUUGUGCUUCUUCUUGGAAAAUGGUAAUACAAAAAAAACCAAAAAAAUUCUUCUUUAAUCAUUCUCAAGUAUCUGCAUAAUCAUAACUUAUACUUACUUGUCAAAAUCAACAAUAAAUCAUGCAUUAAUAAACCCGUUGAACACAUUUACCAUGUACUCUCUUCCAACUUUGAGUUCCUUGUAUCCGAAGCUGAAAGAGACAUGAAUGAAGAGACUCAUGACAAGAUCUCUCGCCUACUGGGGCAUCUAGCCAUCAAAGCUACCAAACAAAAAUCAUGAAGAUAAUCCAGAAGAUGGCACUCACUUGCAAAGACUAGUUCGAGGUGCUACCAUUCGCUUUGCUCGGAUAUCGUGCUUCAGUACACAUUUCAACAGGGGCAUUCCCCCUCUUUCCCUCAAGUAUACAACAGGGAGGUGAUGCUUCCCGCACGAUCAAAGUCCCAACAAUAGGAGUUAUGUCAAAGUCCAAGCUUAAACAAACUUAAAAUGCAUGACGACCUUGUACAAUCAUGUCAAAAAAAGUUUGAAAACAAACUUCCAACAAGAAGGUUCGUCCCCGUGAAAUUCAAGAAUGAAACUUUGUGCUCAAAAGGAUACUAUAUUUCCAAUCAGACUCCAGGGGCAAGUGGACGCCUAACUAUGAAGGAUCGCGUGCAAUAACUUCUCCAACCAUGGAUGACAAACUCGCACUUCCUAUGAAUGCCGGUGCGGUCAAGAAAUACUUUGUCAAAAAAUAAUAAAGCUCGAUAAGUCGCAAACCUUAAAGUACGGCUUAGGCAAAAAUGAGCGUCUCGGUGGACUGAAAACCCAAAAGGGCGGUCCAAGCAAAAGUUAGAGACAUGAACAAAAAUGGUUAUCCUGAUAGAUUGAAAACCCCAAAGGGCGAUCUAUGCAAAAGUUAAGGAUCAAAAAGACAAAGUAACUGCAUCCGGUCAAGCACAAUCCACUUGGGGCAUCCAGCUAUCAAAAGACCUCCGACUCGAAGCAUCUGCAGAUCAAAGACUCGGAACAGGGGCAUUCAAAGUUGUUAGGGAGAAUAAUGGUUACUGUGUUCAAUGUACCCUCCCCAUUACAUUUACCAUUUUUCCAAAAUUUUCAAAAAUCCGUGGAGCCAUGCCCUUGGCAGGUCACCACUCAAUUCAUCAAACUUGAGCCUGUGCCCAUUUAUUUGGAACUCUCAUUUAUUCUAUUUGCAUAAUUUCUUCUUAAAGCAAAAAAAUUUUCAAAUACAAAACUUUUUUUACAUCGCUUGAAAAGUGUGAACAACAAACACAUUCUCUUUGAACUCGUGAGUAGGUGAAGUAUACAUCAGCAUCCGCCUCGAUAACGGUUACACUCCGGAAGAGAAACAUGACUAAGUACUAUGGAGAGGUCCUAUACUUUGAACAAAAUGCUGUCACAGUCAAAAAAUACAAAAAAUAAUACAAAGAAGCUCGCUAAGUUGAAAACCUGAAAAGGCGACUUAGGCAACAGAGAGCGUCCCGGUGGACUGAAAACCCGAAAGGGCGGUCCAGGCAAAAAUUAGGGGCAAAUACAAAAAAUAUUCCCGGUGGACUGAAAACCCGAAAGGGCGGUCCAGGCAAAAAUUAGGGAUUUUUCAAUAAAACAAAAGGCAUGACUGCUGAAGCAUACCAAUGGAAGGACACUCUGUGCCGGUUUACAAAUGGCGACUUCUUCCAGACUUCUUUCAUCAACAAUGGGCUCACCCCCCAGGAGGCAUCAGUGGCUACCUAGUGCCAGGUUCUUACACCAUCAACGGCUCGAUUUGCUCACAAUAAUACCAUCUCCAAGGAGGGUUGCCGAGUGUUUGUAAUGCAAUGUCGGUCCGACUCCCAUCUUACCUGUCUUGUCUCGGUUCAUCGACUCACGUGUCAUGUACAUUCAUAUAUCCAUACAUUCAUAGAAUCAUGCAUUCACCAAUAUUUUCACAUAAUCAUACGUUUAUGCGUACACGACAUAUGCAUAACAUCAAUUCACACAUAAUUGCAUCAGUCAAAGCUUACCAUUGUGUCAAGCCGCAAGUUUCUACAAAUGAGCGUCUUCCAUUUCAAAUUUCAAAUUCAAAAGUGCCAUCCCCGGCGUAAAGCCGUGCUAGUUAUGUCACUAAUCAAUGUCAAUUUCAAUUUCAAAUUCAAAAGUGUCAUCCCCGGCGUAAAGCCGUGCUAGUUAUGUCACUAAUCAAUGUCAAUUUCAACUUCAAAUUCAAAAGUGUCAUCCCCGGCGUAAAGCCGUGCUAGUUAUGUCACUAAUCAAUGUCAAUUUCAAUUUCAAAUUCAAAAGUGUCAUCCCCGGCGUAAAGCCGUGCUAGUUAUGUCACUAAUCAAUGUCAAUUUCAACUUCAAAUUCAAAAGUGUCAUCCCCGGCGUAAAGCCGUGCUAGUUAUGUCACUAAUCAAUGUCAAUUUCAAUUUCAAAUUUCAAAGGUGUCAUGCCCGGCGAAAAACCGUGCUAAGUCAUGUCACUAAUCAAUGUCAAUUUCAACUUUAGUCUCGAAGUGUCAUCCCCGGCGGAAAGCCGUACUAGUCACGACGCUAGUUAAUCUCGAUGUCAACUUCAAACUCCAGGUAUCAUCCCCAGCGUAGCUGUUCUAGAGAUGUCACCAAUCCAAACCUUUCAAGCGACCGAUUCCAACAAACGAAUAGCCUAUGUCAAUGUUUUUUACCUUUCGAGCGACUAGUUCCAACAAACGAACAACUCAUGACAAUCUUUUAUCUUUAUGCCCAGCGACCGAUUCCAACAAACGAAUAGCCUAUGUCAAUGUUUUUUUUACCUUUCGAGCGACUAGUUCAAACAAACGAACAACUCAUGUCAAUCUUUUAUCUUUAUGCCCAGCGACCGAUUCCAACAAACGAAUAGCCAAUGUUUUUUUACCUUUCGAGCGACCAGUUCCAACAAACGAACAACUCAUGUCAAUCUCUUAUCUUUAUGACCAGCGACCAGUUCCAACUAACGAACAGCCUGCAACAAGUGGCCAAUUUCAACCAACAAAUAACUUGUAUCCUUCUAUUAUUUCAUUUUCAAAACCAAGUCCACAAAUGAACAUUGGAGUCCGAACCAUUGCACUUUGUUUCGAGAUAUCGAGACGAUGAGGAACAACCAUUUUCCCCAGUGAAACCAGAUUCCCCAGUAAAGUCGGAUCCCUUUCUCUGAAGAAUUUGGGUAUCCCAGUGUCCUUUCAUUCCAGUCGAGCCGUCUUUGUCAUCAUGCAUUCAUAAUUAAAUCAUGAGCAUUCAUAAACAUCUUAGGUCAAAAUUGGUGCACUUCUUGUAUUUAAGUCUCUUCGGCUCGUCGAGUCAAAGAUUUUACCUUCGAAUCUCUGAGCGAAGAAACUUAAAUAGGGGCAUCUGUCAUACCCCAAAUUUUGACCUAAGGUCCCACUGACACGCGUCUCCGAACUCGGAUCAGACUCACAUUUCAGUGAAAAAUUCGGCAGGGAGGUAUUUUGAAAUACCUCAUAAAAUUCCGAAUCGGGCCCUCUUCUCUCAGUCUAAAAUUAUUUCCAUCUUUUAAAUUUUUAUUUUAACUUUAGUCUAAAUUUAGAUUAAAUUUCUUUUAUUCCCAUUUUAAAUUUUCCUUUUUAUCCUUUUUAAAAAACCAAAAAUAUAGACAUUAUCCUUUUAUUAUUAAUUUUUCUUUUUAAUUAAGUCCCAAAAUUGUCCAAUGAUAAGUCCAACAAAAUAGUCCAAAUUCAGAUAAGCAGUCUCUCAUCUCAAUCCUUAUACACGUUCUGUUCCUUUUUCAUCCCAAUCCAAAUCCAGUUCACGCAUCAUCUGAAACAAAUCCAGUAAAAACAGACGCGUUUCCCUUUUUCUCCUCCACAAGCCACUGCUUUUUUGCUCAUCAGUAACAAACCCUAGCCUCAACCUCACUCUAUAAAUAGAGACCUGCACAACAAAGAAAAACACGAAAAAAACAGAGGAUAGCAGAGCACACGAGAAACAGAGAAAAAGGUAUCGCACAGAACCGCAACACCAACAACACGGCAACACAACAAACACACACGCACAGAACCGCAACACCAACAACACUGCAUCGCACAACGACACACACGCACAACAUCACAGAACCGGCCACAAGAAAGCCGAAUCCAUUUCUUAAACAAAAGGUAUAAAUUUCUUUCUUUUUUUUUAGAUCUAGGCGUUUGGGUAAAGGUUUUGGGAACUUGAAGGCUAGAAGUGAACAGAGGGAGGGAAGUAGAAGAGAAAGAGCGAAAAAAAUCAAAAAAAGAGGAGCUUUUUAGCUCCGGCGCGGCGGCGCAGCCGCGAUGGCUCGCCGGCCACCGCGCCGGACUUCUCCCGGCCGCCCCAUCUCCAACCGGAGAAGAAGAAAGAAGUAGAGAGAGAAGAGAGGAUUUGAGGGAUAAGAGAGAGAAAGACAAAUGAAAAAUGAAAGGAAAAACCCUACAACCCUUAUAUAUCCCCCAAACCGGGUCAACCCAUGACCCGCGACCCGGUUCGUUUUCCUUAAGCCCAGUUCCUUUUUCUGCUUUCUGCACACCCCUGUUUACUACUGCACCCCACCUUGUGUUUGGACCUUUUUUUUAUUUUUUUCUUAUUCCUUUUCGUAUUUAUUUAUUUAUUUUUUUUAGCAUUUUAAUUUUCAUUGCAGACCUUAGAAUGUAAAUAGGCUUUUUAUGUAAUAGUCAUAGAUUUUAUAUUUCUAACUUAGGGUAGCCGCGCUUUUUAUUCUUUAUGCUCCGUUAGUUCUAUCUUAUUCCAAAUAUAACAAAAAUCACAAAAACGUUUUCAUAAACAAACCUUGAUCCAAAUCAAGUGAUCGUCUUUAUUUUAUUUCUUUCAUAAAUCAAAAUUGCAAUCAACUUUAAAUCUACUUUAAGUCAUUUUCUUUUAACAAAAAUACAAACCAAUUCUUAUUUUGCCACUUGGCUUUUCCUUUUAAAACUUUUUUCAAAACUAAUAAAAAACACAAAACCAAUCAAACGUUGUUUUCUACCCCGAACUACGAGGUUUUGAUCCUUCACGGGUACGUAGGCAGAGGACACUUGUCCUUCCAAACAAUAAAAAAUGUAGAUAAAUUAGGUCUCACUUUAUUUUCUUUUUCAUCACAUUAAUUCCUUCUUUUCAAAAGCAAGCAAGUUAUAGCACAUUAAAUUAAAUAAAACCAAGAGGUUCCCGUAGAGUACUGCGGACAUAGAGGGUGCUAAUACCUUCCCUUUAUGUAACUAAC
RNAcentral lists this long non-coding RNA (8090 nucleotides) under Medicago truncatula (barrel medic). Its description in RNAcentral is "long non-coding RNA (MTRU_LNC002860)". Lineage: Eukaryota; Viridiplantae; Streptophyta; Magnoliopsida; Fabales; Fabaceae. The record is from RNAcentral.